CAGCUGGAAGCACUGUAAUUUCAACUGAUCUUUCUUCGAAUCAAAAUAUUGUUGUCUUCACUGGAAUCAGUUUCAAUCACAUCAUCCAUUUUGACCUCAUAAACUGAAUUGGUAACCGUCUUCUCUCCUACCGUCAGAUCCAAGAAAAUAGCCUUACAAAUUAUUUCACCUUCCACAACAUUGCAACAACAAUUGGCUGCAGAGUUGGACCUCAAGCAACUGUCAUAUCUCUCUCUGAAGGAUGAUCUUCCACCACAACUUAAUUGCAUGAGUUCUCCAUGUGGUUGGCUAGUUAGCUACUAAUUGUGCAGGUCCAUCAGAACAAGCAAAAAUUCUGUUCAACUAACUUUUGCACAUCAGUUUUACUUCAACAUGUAUCUGGCAAAUUGUAAUGAGAAUCUGCAUUGUCAUUAACUUGACCCACAAGUGCCAAAUUUUCAUCUAGUGUUUGAUCGUGCUUCGCCUGUCAUUUUGCAAUCAUAAUCUUUUUUUUCUUUACACUUCCA
Molecule: long non-coding RNA, 506 nt
Filed under: Elaeis guineensis (African oil palm)
Lineage: Eukaryota; Viridiplantae; Streptophyta; Magnoliopsida; Arecales; Arecaceae
Description: long non-coding RNA (EGUI_LNC040792)
Source: RNAcentral